GACGAACGCUGGCGGCGUGCUUAACACAUGCAAGUCGAACGGAAAGGCCCUGCUUGCCGGGUACUCGAGUGGCGAACGGGUGAGUAACACGUGGGUGAUCUGCCCUGCACUUCGGGAUAAGCUUGGGAAACUGGGUCUAAUACCGGAUAGGAACCAUCUUUAGUGUGGUGGUUGGAAAGUUUUUUCGGUGUAGGAUGAGCUCGCGGCCUAUCAGCUUGUUGGUGGGGUAAUGGCCUACCAAGGCGGCGACGGGUAGCCGGCCUGAGAGGGUGUACGGCCACAUUGGGACUGAGAUACGGCCCAGACUCCUACGGGAGGCAGCAGUGGGGAAUAUUGCACAAUGGGCGCAAGCCUGAUGCAGCGACGCCGCGGGGGGGAGGAAGGCCUUCGGGUUGUAAACGCCUUUCGCUAGGGACGAAGCUUUUUGUGACGGUACCUAGAGAAGAAGCACCGGCUAACUACGUG
Molecule: ribosomal RNA, 465 nt
Filed under: uncultured bacterium
Lineage: Bacteria
Description: partial 16S ribosomal RNA
Rfam family: Bacterial small subunit ribosomal RNA
Source: RNAcentral